UCCCUGAUGGUCUAGUGGUUAAGACUCUGUGCUUCCGCUGCAGGGGGUGUGGGUUUGAUCCCUGAUCAGGUAA
This 73-nucleotide transfer RNA is filed under the name Bos taurus (domestic cattle). It matches the Rfam family "tRNA". Rfam says of the family: Transfer RNA (tRNA) molecules are approximately 80 nucleotides in length. Their secondary structure includes four short double-helical elements and three loops (D, anti-codon, and T loops). Further hydrogen bonds mediate the characteristic L-shaped molecular structure. tRNAs have two regions of fundamental functional importance: the anti-codon, which is responsible for specific mRNA codon recognition, and the 3' end, to which the tRNAs corresponding amino acid is attached (by aminoacyl-tRNA synthetases). tRNAs cope with the degeneracy of the genetic code in two manners: having more than one tRNA (with a specific anti-codon) for a particular amino acid; and 'wobble' base-pairing, i.e. permitting non-standard base-pairing at the 3rd anti-codon position. Lineage: Eukaryota; Metazoa; Chordata; Mammalia; Artiodactyla; Bovidae. The record is from Rfam by way of RNAcentral. RNAcentral also lists the same sequence under 1 other name.